Molecule: ribosomal RNA, 2205 nt
Filed under: Enterobacter sp. ENT03
Lineage: Bacteria; Pseudomonadati; Pseudomonadota; Gammaproteobacteria; Enterobacterales; Enterobacteriaceae
Description: partial 23S ribosomal RNA
Rfam family: Bacterial large subunit ribosomal RNA
Source: RNAcentral
GGUUAAGCGACUAAGCGUACACGGUGGAUGCCCUGGCAGUCAGAGGCGAUGAAGGGCGUGCUAAUCUGCGAUAAGCGCCGGUAAGGUGAUAUGAACCGUUAUAACCGGCGAUACCCGAAUGGGGAAACCCAGUGCAAUGCGUUGCACUAUCAUGUCAUGAAUACAUAGUGGCAUGAGGCGAACCGGGGGAACUGAAACAUCUAAGUACCCCGAGGAAAAGAAAUCAACCGAGAUUCCCCCAGUAGCGGCGAGCGAACGGGGAGGAGCCCAGAACCUGAAUCAGCAUGUGUGUUAGUGGAAGCGUCUGGAAAGUCGCAGGGUACAGGGUGAUACUCCCGUACACAAAAAUGCACAUGGUGUGAGUUCGAAGAGUAGGGCGGGACACGUGGUAUCCUGUCUGAAUAUGGGGGGACCAUCCUCCAAGGCUAAAUACUCCUGACUGACCGAUAGUGAACCAGUACCGUGAGGGAAAGGCGAAAAGAACCCCGGCGAGGGGAGUGAAACAGAACCUGAAACCGUGUACGUACAAGCAGUGGGAGCCUCUUUUAUGGGGUGACUGCGUACCUUUUGUAUAAUGGGUCAGCGACUUAUAUUCUGUAGCAAGGUUAACCGUAUAGGGGAGCCGAAGGGAAACCGAGUCUUAACUGGGCGUUAAGUUGCAGGGUAUAGACCCGAAACCCGGUGAUCUAGCCAUGGGCAGGUUGAAGGUUGGGUAACACUAACUGGAGGACCGAACCGACUAAUGUUGAAAAAUUAGCGGAUGACUUGUGGCUGGGGGUGAAAGGCCAAUCAAACCGGGAGAUAGCUGGUUCUCCCCGAAAGCUAUUUAGGUAGCGCCUCGUGAAUUCAUCUUCGGGGGUAGAGCACUGUUUCGGCUAGGGGGUCAUCCCGACUUACCAACCCGAUGCAAACUGCGAAUACCGAAGAAUGUUAUCACGGGAGACACACGGCGGGUGCUAACGUCCGUCGUGAAGAGGGAAACAACCCAGACCGCCAGCUAAGGUCCCAAAGUCAUGGUUAAGUGGGAAACGAUGUGGGAAGGCACAGACAGCCAGGAUGUUGGCUUAGAAGCAGCCAUCAUUUAAAGAAAGCGUAAUAGCUCACUGGUCGAGUCGGCCUGCGCGGAAGAUGUAACGGGGCUAAACCAUGCACCGAAGCUGCGGCAGCGACACUAUGUGUUGUUGGGUAGGGGAGCGUUCUGUAAGCCGUUGAAGGUGGACUGUGAGGUCUGCUGGAGGUAUCAGAAGUGCGAAUGCUGACAUAAGUAACGAUAAAGCGGGUGAAAAACCCGCUCGCCGGAAGACCAAGGGUUCCUGUCCAACGUUAAUCGGGGCAGGGUGAGUCGACCCCUAAGGCGAGGCCGAAAGGCGUAGUCGAUGGGAAACAGGUUAAUAUUCCUGUACUUGGUGUUACUGCGAAGGGGGGACGGAGAAGGCUAUGUUGGCCGGGCGACGGUUGUCCCGGUUUAAGCGUGUAGGUGUGUGUUCCAGGUAAAUCCGGUUCACUUUAACACUGAGGCGUGAUGACGAGGCACUACGGUGCUGAAGUGACAAAUGCCCUGCUUCCAGGAAAAGCCUCUAAGCAUCAGGUAACAUUAAAUCGUACCCCAAACCGACACAGGUGGUCAGGUAGAGAAUACCAAGGCGCUUGAGAGAACUCGGGUGAAGGAACUAGGCAAAAUGGUGCCGUAACUUCGGGAGAAGGCACGCUGGUGCGUAGGUGAAGCGACUUGCUCGCGGAGCUGAAACCAGUCGAAGAUACCAGCUGGCUGCAACUGUUUAUUAAAAACACAGCACUGUGCAAACACGAAAGUGGACGUAUACGGUGUGACGCCUGCCCGGUGCCGGAAGGUUAAUUGAUGGGGUUAGCGGCAACGCGAAGCUCUUGAUCGAAGCCCCGGUAAACGGCGGCCGUAACUAUAACGGUCCUAAGGUAGCGAAAUUCCUUGUCGGGUAAGUUCCGACCUGCACGAAUGGCGUAAUGAUGGCCAGGCUGUCUCCACCCGAGACUCAGUGAAAUUGAAAUCGCUGUGAAGAUGCAGUGUACCCGCGGCAAGACGGAAAGACCCCGUGAACCUUUACUAUAGCUUGACACUGAACACUGGUCCUUGAUGUGUAGGAUAGGUGGGAGGCUUUGAAGCGAGGACGCCAGUUCUUGUGGAGCCAACCUUGAAAUACCACCCUUUAAUGGCUGGUGUUCUAACGU